UACGGAGGGUGCAGGCGUUAUCCGGAUUCACUGGGUUUAAAGGGUGCGCAGGCGGCCAAGUGUGUCAGGUGUGAAAUCCCGAGGCUUAACCUCGGAACUGCGCCUGAAACUACUUGGCUAGAGUACUGGAGAGGGUAACGGAAUUCACGGUGUAGCAGUGAAAUGCGUAGAUAUCGUGAGGAACACCAGAGGCGAAGGCGGUUACCUGGACAGUUACUGACGCUCAGGCACGAAAGCGUGGGGAGCAAAAGGG
Molecule: ribosomal RNA, 253 nt
Filed under: uncultured bacterium
Lineage: Bacteria
Description: partial 16S ribosomal RNA
Rfam family: Bacterial small subunit ribosomal RNA
Source: RNAcentral